CUGUGCUAGACGGGGAGCUAGCGGUGCCCUGUAACCUGCAAUCCGCUUUAGCAGGGUCGAAUUCCCACUCUGAGGUCCACCCGCCCAUCUGAUGGUUUCAUGCCUGUGGCGUUGAGGACGCAAGCCCCGCGCAACAGAACCGCACCGAACCCCGUCAGGACCGGAAGGUAGCAGCGGUAAGUGCGCCGUCUGUGUGCCGCGGGUUUCCUUGCUCUGAGCCACAAGCUGGAACCGCGGAUGGGAAAUGGGGGAUCGAAGGUGGGUGCACAG
RNAcentral lists this signal recognition particle RNA (270 nucleotides) under Bacteroidota bacterium. RNAcentral's name for it is "Bacteroidetes bacterium (hydrothermal vent metagenome) signal recognition particle sRNA large type". It matches the Rfam family "Bacterial large signal recognition particle RNA". From Rfam's summary of the family: The signal recognition particle (SRP) is a universally conserved ribonucleoprotein involved in the co-translational targeting of proteins to membranes. Archaeal SRP consists of a 7S RNA and homologues of the eukaryotic SRP19 and SRP54 proteins. Lineage: Bacteria; Pseudomonadati; Bacteroidota. The record is from RNAcentral.